UACAGAGGUCUCAAGCGCUGUUCGGAUUCAUUGGGCGUAAAGGGUGCGUAGGCGGCGCGGUAAGUCGGGUGUGAAAUCUCGGAGCUUAACUCCGAAACUGCAUUCGAUACUGCCGUGCUUGAGGACUGGAGAGGAGGCUGGAAUUUACGGUGUAGCGGUGAAAUGCGUAGAUAUCGUAAGGAAGACCAGUGGCGAAGGCGGGUCUCUGGACAGUUCCUGACGCUGAGGCACGAAGGUCAGGGGAGCAAACGGG
This 253-nucleotide ribosomal RNA is filed under the name uncultured bacterium. RNAcentral describes it as "partial 16S ribosomal RNA". It matches the Rfam family "Bacterial small subunit ribosomal RNA", at positions 524 to 776 of the family's 1533-position model. The record is from RNAcentral.